Long non-coding RNA from Hippocampus zosterae (dwarf seahorse), 1259 nucleotides. RefSeq lists it as uncharacterized. The transcript is spliced from 2 exons. The record is from RefSeq and is a predicted model, not a curated record. NCBI's taxonomy places the organism in Eukaryota, Metazoa, Chordata, Actinopteri, Syngnathiformes, Syngnathidae.
UGAAGUUGUGUUAAAAAAAAAAAGUUUUAAUCUCUUUUGUGUUCAUGUAGCAUUGAAGUCAAGGUGCACUGCCCGCCGUUUUCCUCCAAUUCCUCACUCGUGAUGUGUCACUAAUGCAAAAUCCUCUUGCUCAAGUAGAUUCUCUCCCUUGCCCUUUUUGUGCUCCCUUACUGAUAAUCUUCAAAACACCUUUUUAUAUUUGCCAAAACGGAAUUCACCUGAAGUUUAAUCAUUGUGUAAAAACUGUUGAUCAAGAAUUCCUUUUCUCUAUGUCGGCAACCAUCAAGCGCCCUCAUCAGCAUUGUUGAUGGUUUGGCAAACAAACGUCGCCUGGCAAAGACAACUGGGCUGGCAGCGUCUGUUCAUUUUUGUGCUCAUCAAACAUCCCGUGAAGCCCAAAAUGUUUUAUAAGCUGGCCGCAUUUUGAGUUGAAGUGACAGACGCAAGGCAGUGGAGGAAAGCAAGGCAUUAGACAAUAAAAUAUGAAUUACAGGUUUGGGCACAACCGCAUAUUCUGAGGAAAUGGUAGCAAAAAAAAAAAAAUAAUAAUAAUAAUCAUUACCUGAAUUGUCGUAUGACAUUUUAUUGUUGUCAAGGUGAAUCGCUCUAGCAAACUUACUACCAGGUACUGCUUGAUGUACCCGGAUUGCUACUCGUCGCCAAAAUUCUUCUAAAUUGUUGUGACAACAGAAUCAUGACACGGUGAAUGAAACUAUGCAAAUCAUUCAAAGGCUAAUAUGUAUUUUUUUCAUAACUUGUAGACGAGAAGUCCGCUGGGACUCACGACGUAUGCUUUGUUGUUUUUUGGUUCCACGAGGACAAGAAAAAAGCGACUGUAGUUGUGUGACAAGUCUUAAACGCGGAUCUGUUUAAACAUCAUAUUUGUUGUCAUUUUGAAGCCAGCUGGUCCAAUCACUGUACCGUUGCUCACCAACACACACUUCUAAUCCUUUUUUUUUUUUUUUUUUUUUUAAUUCUUGUGUUGGACCUUUCUAAUGUGGGAAAAUGUGUAUUUACUCUGCCAACCUUUACACUAGUCACUUUGGAUAGUAGCAUACUUGAAGGGGAAAAUGAAUACGAUUGUCAUAAGGCUUAUUUUUGUUCUGACUGUGAGUUUGUAUUUACCAACGGCUGUCUGAUGGCAUUAGUUUGUGCGCAGCAAGAGUUUUUGUAUCAUUUUUAUUUGAUUCACUGCAAGAGGUUUGAAAAACAUGUGAAUACUGACUGCUGCCUUAGACGAGUUUUAGUAUUAAAACAAA